This 331-nucleotide RNase P RNA is filed under the name unidentified bacterium SM-A77. Its description in RNAcentral is "partial RNAase P". It matches the Rfam family "Bacterial RNase P class A", at positions 43 to 352 of the family's 367-position model. Rfam says of the family: Ribonuclease P (RNase P) is a ubiquitous endoribonuclease, found in archaea, bacteria and eukarya as well as chloroplasts and mitochondria. The record is from RNAcentral.
GAGGAAAGUCCGGGCUCCACAGGACAGGAUGGUCCCUAACGGGGACCGGGGGUGACCCUAGGGAUAGUGCCACAGAGAGGAGACCGCCUGUUUUCGCUGCGGCGCUGACAGGUAAGGGUGAAAGGGUGAGGUAAGAGCUCACCAGUUCUGGCGGUGACGUCAGAAGCUCGGUAAACCCCAUCCGGAGCAAGGCCGAAUAGGGGAACAUUUGAGGAUGGUCCGUCCAAAGUUCCCGGGUCUGGCUGCUUGAGACCGUCGGCAACGGCGGUCCUAGAGGAAUGAUCAUCGUCCUGCAGCGGGUAACUUCUGCAGGAAACAGAAUCCGGCUUAC